RNAcentral lists this microRNA precursor (88 nucleotides) under Marmota monax (woodchuck). Lineage: Eukaryota; Metazoa; Chordata; Mammalia; Rodentia; Sciuridae. The record is from RNAcentral.
ACACACACACACACACACACACACACACACACUAUAUAUAUAUAUAUAUAUAUAUAUAUAGUGUGUGUGUGUGUGUGUGUGUGUGUGU